CUAACAAGGAUUCCCCUAGUAACUGCGAGUGAAGCGGGAAGAGCUCAAAUUUUGAAUCUGGCGGUCCUUGCGCCCGUCCGAGUUGUAAUCUAGAGAAGUGUCUUCCGCGCUGGACCGUGUACAAGUCUCCUGGAAGGGAGCGUCAUAGAGGGUGAGAAUCCCGUCUUUGACACGGACUACCAGGGCUAUGUGAUGCGCUCUCGACGAGUCGAGUUGUUUGGGAAUGCAGCUCAAAUCGGGUGGUAAAUUCCAUCUAAAGCUAAAUACAGGCGAGAGACCGAUAGCGAACAAGUACCGUGAGGGAAAGAUGAAAAGAACUUUGGAAAGAGAGUUAAACAGUACGUGAAAUUGCUGAAAGGGAAACGCUUGAUGUCAGUCGCGUCGGCCGGGGAUCAACCUUGCUUGAAUCGCUCGGUGUACUUCCUGGUCGACGGGUCAGCAUCAGUUUCGAUCGCCGUACAAGGGCGGGAGGGAAUGUGGCACUCUUCGGAGUGUGUUAUAGCCUUUCAUCGUAUGCGGUGCUUGGGACUGAGGAACUCAGCACGACCUCUCUGGGGGUUCGGGGCUUCGGCCUACGUUCGCGUGCUUAGGAUGCUGGCAUAAUGGCCUUAAGCGACCCGUCUU
This 624-nucleotide ribosomal RNA is filed under the name Alpova austroalnicola. Its description in RNAcentral is "eukaryotic LSU rRNA". It matches the Rfam family "Eukaryotic large subunit ribosomal RNA", at positions 65 to 655 of the family's 3401-position model. The record is from RNAcentral. Lineage: Eukaryota; Fungi; Basidiomycota; Agaricomycetes; Boletales; Melanogastraceae.